GACGAACGCUGGCGGCGUGCUUAACACAUGCAAGUCGAACGGAAAGGCCCUGCUUUUGUGGGGUGCUCGAGUGGCGAACGGGUGAGUAACACGUGAGUAACCUGCCCUUGACUUUGGGAUAACUUCAGGAAACUGGGGCUAAUACCGGAUAGGAGCUCCUGCUGCAUGGUGGGGGUUGGAAGGUUUCGGCGGUUGGGGAUGGACUCGCGGCUUAUCAGCUUGUUGGUGGGGUAGUGGCUUACCAAGGCUUUGACGGGUAGCCGGCCUGAGAGGGUGACCGGCCACAUUGGGACUGAGAUACGGCCCAGACUCCUACGGGAGGCAGCAGUGGGGAAUAUUGCACAAUGGGCGGAAGCCUGAUGCAGCAACGCCGCGUGCGGGAUGACGGCCUUCGGGUUGUAAACCGCUUUCGCCUGUGACGAAGCGUGAGUGACGGUAAUGGGCAAAGAAGCACCGGCUAACUACGUG
RNAcentral lists this ribosomal RNA (468 nucleotides) under uncultured bacterium. RNAcentral describes it as "partial 16S ribosomal RNA". It matches the Rfam family "Bacterial small subunit ribosomal RNA", at positions 28 to 507 of the family's 1533-position model. The record is from RNAcentral.